GGUCCGAUACUGACGUUGAGACGCGAUAGCGUGGGGAGCAAACAGGAUUAGAUACGCUGGUAGUUCACGCUGUAAACGAUGGGCACUAGGUGUAGGAGGUAUUGAACCCUUCUGUACCGAAGCUACCGCAUUAAGUGCUUCGCCUGGGGAGUACGGCCGCAAGGCUAAACCUCAAAGGAAUUGACGGGGGUCCGCACAAGCGGUGGAUCAUGUGGUUCAAUUGGACGCAACGCGAAGAUACCUUACCUGGGCUUGACAUCCGCUGACCAUCCUGGAAACAGGACUUUCCCCGCAAGGGGACAGCGAGACAGGUGCUGCAUGGCUGUCGUCAGCUCGUGUCGUGAGAUGUUGGGUUAAGUCCACGCAACGAGCGCAACCCUCAUCCUUAGUUGCCAUCAUUGAGUUGGGCUCUCUAAGGAAACUGCCCCGGUUAACGGGGAGGAAGGUGGGGAUGACGUCAAGUCCUCAUGGCCUUUAUGUACAGGGCUCCACACGUGCUACAAUGGGCAGCACAAAGGGUUUCAAUUCCGUGAGGUGGAGCAAAUCUCAAAAAGGUGCUUUCAGUUCAGAUUGGAGUAUGCAACUCGGCUCCAUGAAGGCGGAAUCCCUAGUAAUCGCGGAUCAGCAUUCCGCGGUGAAUACGUUCCCUGGCUU
This 654-nucleotide ribosomal RNA is filed under the name uncultured bacterium. Its description in RNAcentral is "SSU rRNA". It matches the Rfam family "Bacterial small subunit ribosomal RNA", at positions 731 to 1381 of the family's 1533-position model. The record is from RNAcentral.